This 910-nucleotide long non-coding RNA is filed under the name Olea europaea subsp. europaea. Lineage: Eukaryota; Viridiplantae; Streptophyta; Magnoliopsida; Lamiales; Oleaceae. The record is from RNAcentral.
GUGAGGAUGGUCUUACUUUCAUUUAUGUUGAAUGUGAUUUUCAGUUUGUUAGGAAUUGAAUGGUCUCUGUAGUAAAACACAGUAAAAUUACACACAGGCACACACUUAUGAUUAUAGUUAAACAUUUUGCUCAAACCGAUCAACCAAACCCGACCCGACAGACACUUGAUUGGGUUGGGUUUCAACAUUUACCUGGGUUGGGUUGGGUUGGUUUUUGGUGAAACCGACCACAUUGGGUUGGGGUAAAAACCGACCCAACCCAACCCAACCCACGCCCACCCCUACUGAUAAGAAGGGAUUGACAGCCUCCCUAAUCGCAUACUCACGAUAGGAAAUGGAACCACUUUUUUUGAAAUUUCUUAUUCACGCAGGUUCUACACGCAUAUAAGAGGAUAUCAAGACUUCUGUCAAUGAUUUUCAGUCAAUUUAGCUUAAUUCUUCAAAUUAUUGUAACCAAAAUAUCGUAUUGAUAAAGAUACAACGGCUCGUACACAAUGCCUUCAACAGCAAUGACAAAAAAGGUGGAAAAAAGUUAAAAUUUUGUUACGUACUAUUUAAUCUUGGCAGCUACUAAUCAUCAAACGUGCAUGAAAUACAUCAUCUACAAAGAGGACGAGCUUAGCCUCCUUUUGGCAAUAAAUUUUAAAUUCAGUUAAGGUUAAAUAUUAAUUUCAACCACACAUUUAUAAGUAAUCCUCAUUUUAUUAUUCGCACAAUUUGUGGAAUACACUCUUUAUAAAUUGAUUUAUAAAUUUGUCAAAUUAAGACUAAACCUUCCGAUUUGAUUGUUUUGCAUGAGUAUCAUGUGCAACGAAGAAGUCUAAUAUGUUUUAUUUGUUCAAAGGUUGAACCCAAAUCAUGAGGGGCCCCCAUUGCGUUGCCCUUAAAGUAUCGUGAGGGAGGUAAAUCG